Molecule: ribosomal RNA, 301 nt
Filed under: uncultured bacterium
Lineage: Bacteria
Description: partial 16S ribosomal RNA
Rfam family: Bacterial small subunit ribosomal RNA
Source: RNAcentral
CAGUAGCCACGGUAAUGCGAAGGGGGCUAGCGUUGUUCGGAUUUACUGGGCGUAAAGGGCGCGUAGGCGGACUGAUAAGUCAGGGGUGAAAUCCCAAGGCUCAACCUUGGAACUGCCUUUGAUACUGUUUGUCUUGAGUUCGAGAGAGGUAAGUGGAACUGCGAGUGUAGAGGUGAAAUUCGUAGAUAUUCGCAAGAACACCAGUGGCGAAGGCGGCUUACUGGCUCGAAACUGACGCUGAGGCGCGAAAGCGUGGGGAGCAAACAGGAUUAGAUACCCCAGUAGUCCCUGUCUCUUAUAC